CUGUUUCCGGGAUAUUGCUUUUGCUUUUCUCUUCUCUUGCUGAUGAAGAAAGUAAGAGGAGCCAUGUUCUCUUUUGUCCUGUAAAUAAUAAGCAUAGUGCUUCGUAUGCCUCAAGACUCACUUUCACUGCCUGCUGAUAUCUGCUGAUACUGUGUGCAGAUGUUUACAGAUAUCUGUCACACCGGUGGCUCGGGAGGAACAUUAAUCAUCUGAGUGGCACUUCAAAGGGAGUAACACACCAGCCGUGGUGUUGAUUUCCCAGUAUCUGGUUAUGGGCCCAGAGCAGCGAGGCUUUUGAUCCGGCCGGAGCUGUUUGCAGAGACUAUGCUGGACUCUAAUAAGGUAUGUUGGAUCGAUGCCCAGACGUGGGGGCAAAAGGCUUUUCUGAGGUCUGGAAGCUGAACCGGGAAGCUGGCAGCAGCGUACACAGCUUAAAUUAAUGACUGCUUGCAAGUUCCCAGCAGCAGUUAAGAGCUGGGAUGGAUCACCCAGUGCAGGAAGGGGUUCAUUUCCCCAAGCUGACGCAGGGAAAUUGUCAGAUCUGGUCAGUCUAUGCGGAGGCAUUUUUAAGGAAGGAGGGGGUUUGGAAUACAGUUGAUGAGCAGCAGACUCUUCAGCCACUUGGAAGAGGGCAGAAUCAAAGGCAAGAGGCUUGUUAACCCUUGCAGUAUCACCUGAAGAAUUAAUUCUUCGAAGGUAGUAACACACCAGCCAUGGUGUUGAUUUUCCAAAACUGAGGUGAUGUGUUUUUGGGGGGAACACAACACUGCUGGCCCAUCUAUGUUAAAGACUCAGAUGUUCUUGAUACUUUAGGGCAGAAAGAGCUCGGUUGAACUGUUUUGCCAGAAGUGGCACUGUUUUGACUGACAAAGUGGGAGGCGUCUCUUCUAGGGUGGAUCAGUGAACCCAUGAAUCACAUAAGGGGGCCAGGGGAACAGCUGGACCACUAACAACCUCCUUCUCCUUGCAUAACCACCCUCCUCCUCAUAUCAAACAGUGGUCUGUCAUGACUCAGAAAGUGAUGUUCACUGCUGCCUUCACUUUCUGGCGGAAAAGACAGCUGACGUGAACAAUACAUCUCUCUCUAAAAAAGAGAGAAUGGGGAUAGGCCAUAGCUCAAUCACAGAGCAUCUGCUUUGCAUGCAGAAGGUCCAAGGUUCAUUUGCCAGCAUCUCAGUUGGGAAUGUUCUCUGCAUGAACCCUGGAAAGCUGUUGCAAGUCUGUGCAUGCAGUACUGAGCUAGAAUGGAUCUUCUUAUUUUGCUAGAAUGAGAGUAUGAACCCAUUUUGACAUCCUCCUCCUCCUCCUCCUCCUCCAGAGGCCCUUUUCAACCCUUGGGUAAUACUGAUCACUACAGUUUUGAUUAAGUACAGAAAACAAUGAAUUUCCUUGCCCAAGCCACUACAAGAUAUCUUCCAGUCUUCUGAAUACCGAGAUUCCUUGCUUGCACCAUAGGUAGACCUUUUGCUAGGCUCAACUUGCUCACUUUUCAAGAAGUCAAAUAAGUGUCCAGUGGAUCUCCUCAAAAGUCCAUCUCAUUCACCAAACACUUAAUAAAACACCCAGCUAGAUUAUUCCCCUUUAACACACCACUGUAAUUCAUUUUAGAGAAAUAAUGUUAUCAGAUUGAGACAUUAAAAAACAAUAAAACUCCAGAAAGGUUAUUUUCUCCAGUUAAUAAGCAGAGCACAAUUCACUAAACUUGGGCAGAAUACGCUGGGAGUUUAAUAAACUAAACAGGCAGUGCUUGGUCUAUUAAUUUCUAGACUAGCAUUGAAAUUCAGGCACUUGGCCAAUUCUCCUCACCCCUCCUUCCCCACUUCUUGGAAAUAUUUUAGAUAGCUCUUCAUGAAGCUUAACUCUGAUGCUGUUGCCAUUUCACUGUUUAGCGGAAACCUUGUUUAUUCAGCUUAGUAUAAACUGCUGCCAUACCCGUGACCAGCAGAAUCUGAGAACCAGGGGAAUGAAAGCAUAUUUCGUGGUUAAGGUUCAUACUGUGCAAGGAGGCAAUUUCAUCUUCCGUUCCUUCUUCUCACCACCCUUGUCUGGGCUGGAGCGAGUGGUGGGUGAACAAGCAAACAGGUUGCAAGGGUGAAGAGCAAAAGCAGGUACAAAGGGCUGUUGUUAGUGGGCCCCUCGGUGGGGUGUGGAUCCUCAACAGAUGCCCAAAUGUGCCAACCUUUGAUGCCAGCUAGUCUAACUUGAAUCAAGCAAGCUUACUCUGACCUUGGUCUGAUCCAUGCUCCUUAUGGUGAGGACCACUGGUCUACAUUUAUGCCAAAUUGCCAGGUAUUUACUGAAAAUAAUGACAUGUCCCUUGACCCCUUCAGUUUUACGAUCCUCCAUGCCCCAAUGUGACUAAGGCAACCAAUUAAAAAUAAUUGGGAGUCACUCCCUACUAGUGAGACCAGACUAUUAGAAUAUGCAAUGAUGUGUCCCUCGCCUUCAAAAAUCAACAAGUUGCGCAUUAGAAGAGACUGCGGUAAUUGCCGGCUGCAACAGUGAUAUCAAGAUUUGACAGUGGUUUAUAGCCUACGUCAACGUGAGCAAAAGUAUGAAGCACUGCUCUAAUUGCUUUGGGUUAUAAUUAGUAUUGUCCCCUUCUCUUCAGUGACUAAUGCAAUGGGUGAUCAGCCAGCUUGCCAUGUUUAUACCCCAUCAGUAAUGAAUGUUUAAGUGUCAGUUUCAUUGGAGAGGGACUGUUAAAGUUUAUUGGCAUUGCACAUGCUCUUUAGUGAGAAACAGUGGACUUAGAUAUGAGGACUAUUGCAGAGAAGAUUAUAUGCAGAGUGGAUUUUAUGAGAGGAUCCAUACCUUGUGCCUCUCGGUCUUUAUUACGCAUGCCAAGAAUGUGUGGGCUUUUCAUGCCUAAUGCACACACCCACCCAAAACAAGCAUCAGGGGUGGAGAAGCAGCAAUAUGUCAAACUGAGAGCUCCUAAGAAGAAUGCUGCUAGGUUUUGUUGUUGUUUAGUCAUUUAGUCGUGUCCGACUCUUCGUGACCCCAUGGACCAGAGCACGCCAGGCACUCCUGUCUUCCACUGCCUCUCGCAGUUUGGUCAAACUCUUGCUGGUAGCUCCGAGAACACUGUCCAACCAUCUCGUCCUCUGUCGUCCCCUUCUCCUUGUGCCCUCCAUCUUUCCCAACCUCAGGGUCUUUUCCAGGGAGUCUUCUCUUCUCAUGAGGUGUCCAAAGUAUUGGAGCCUCAGCUUCAGGAUCUGUCCUUCCAGUCAGCACUCAGGGCUGAUUUCCUUCAGAAUGGAUAGGUCUGAUCUUCUUGCAGUUCAUGGAACUCUCAAGAGUCUCCUCCAGCACCAUAAUUCAAAAGCAUCAAUUCUUCGGCGAUCAGCCUUCUUUACUUUAUGGUCCAGCUCUCACUUCCAUACAUCGCUGCUAGGUUAGACCAAAGAUUUAUCUGGUCCAGCAUCUUGUUUCUCAGUGUCCAGUUGCCCGUGGUCCAAUUAGACCAGCAUCCUGUUCUCACAGCGGCCAACCAGAUGCCUGUGAAGAACCCUCAAGCAGGAUUUGAGCAUAUCAGCACUUUCUCCUCCUUCGGUUUCCAGCAAUUGGCAUUCAGAAGCAUCUCUGCUUCUACCUGUGAAGGCAGAGAAUAGGCUUCAUAGCUAGUAGCCACUGAUAGCCUUCAUGAAUUUGUCCAAUCUUCUUUUAAAGUCAUCCAAGUUGGUGGCCAUUGUUGCCUCCUGUGCUGGCAUGUUCCACGGUUUAUAUGUGCUGCAUGAAGAAGUACAGUGGUACCUUGAGAGCCAGCAUGGUGCAGUGGUUAGGAGUGGUAGACUUGUAAUCUGGGGAACUGGGUUUGCUUCCCUGCUCCUCCACAUGCAGCUGCUGGGUGACCUUGGGCUAGUCACACUUCUCUGAAGUCUCUCAGCCUCACUCACCUCACAGAGUGUUUGUUGUGGGUGAGGAAGGGAAAGGAGACUGUGAGCCACUUCGGGUAGUGAUACGGAGGAAUAUCAAAUCCAAACUCCUCCUCCUCUUCUUCUUCUUCUUCUUCUUCUUCUUCUUCUUCUUCUUCUUCUUCUUCCCUUCUUGGUUCUCAAACCGUAAUCUGUUGCAGAAGUCCGUUUGACUUCCAAAAUGUUUGGAAACCAAAGCACAGCUUCCAGUUGACGCAGGCACCCCAGAAACAAUAGCCGACAGCCUCACUGGACAUUCAGCUUCCAAUUUUUUUUCGAAAACUUACUUCCGGGUUUUCAGUGUUCAGGAGCAGAAAUGUUCGAGUACCAAGGCAUUUGAGAACCAAGGUUCCACUGUAUUUUCUUUGAUCUGUCCCAAAUCUUCCAAUAUUCAUUGGAUGUCUACUUUUAGUGAUGUAAGAGAGGGACUAAAACUUCUCUCUAUCUGCUUUGUCCAUGCUAUAUUUAACUUUAGAAAUGUCUAUCAUGUCGCUUCUCACUUUUACUCUAAACUAACAGGUCCCAUUAUCUUAAUCAAGGAGUUAUCUCAUGCCCUUGAUUAUUUGCCUUGCCCUUUUCUGAAUCUUUUCCAGCUCUACAGUAUCCUUUUUUGAGGCAAAGUGAGCAGAACAGAGUAUUCCAAAAGUGGCUGCACUGUAGAUGUGUAUAAUGGCUUUUAUGACAUUGGCGGUAUUGUUUUCAAUUCCUUUCCUAAUGAUCCCUGGCAUGAAAUUUGCCUUUUUCACAGCUGCCGCACACUGGGUUGACAUCUUCAGGAACUCCAGAAGCAGGACAUGAAAGGCAAUAGCCAUCUCCUGCUUUUGUUGCUCAGCAACUGGUAUUCAGAGAUAUGCUGCCUCUGAUCCUGGAGCUCAUAGACAGCCAUCAUGAAUAGAAGCCAUGAAUAGAUUUAUCCUCCACUCAUUUGUCUAAUCCCUCUUUUAGGCAAUCUAAGUUAGUGACCAUUGCCAUGUCUUGUGCAAAUGAGUCCCUUAGGUUAAUGAUGAAUGUGUGAAGAAGCACUAUUCAGUCUAUCCUGAAUCUCCAUUUGGCUUGGUUGGUGACCCCUGUUUCUAAUAUUAUGAUAAGAGGAAGAAAAAUCUCUUCCUUCCUACUUUCUCUCCACCAUGCAUAGUGUUACAAUGUGCACCACAUCUCUCUUCCAUGCUGGUGACAGGAAAACAGCAGCCUCUCUGGAAUCUAUUGUUCUGGAGCAACUGUUUCAAAGUACUUUGUGCGGAAACUGAAUGCAGAUUUAUUCAGGCCAGAAUUGGCACUCUGGACAUUGCGCUAUAAUUUCUUUCCCCCUUCCAGAGUGCUGCUGCAGCAAAAAGGAGCCCGAAUCAAUGGAUUUGCUAUUACAUUUCAUGCUCAACUGAUCUAGUUUCAAGCUUGGUGACACCGGCACAGAACUUGCAAAUAAAUAUUAAUUUGACACCUGAUUGUAGUUAUGAUCUAUCAUUAUUUGUGACUAAUGUACUUUGUCUCUGCAUCUUGUGUACUUAGUGAAUUGCAAUGCUGCGCACAAAUUGAUGCAAUCUCUACUUAUGCUCUAGCUGGGAAAAUCUAUUUUGCCUUUAAAUCACAUUGUAUUGACUUUACUUUUGAUACGCUCCAUAUUUCUCUCUUUUAAUGCACUGCCUGUCUCUCCCGUGGAAAUGUUGUGUUCAUGUCUCUCGGUGCAUAGCAGAAGCCAGUUAAAAGUUUGGACUCUAAAAGGAACCAGUGCCUAACACAGCCAGUCUGGCAUGCAUGCAGUAGGGACCCUAGAGAAGGGGUGCAAAUUGCAGAAAUUGAAUUAUGUGCAUUCUCUGGAAUAAGUCCAAGUUGGACAUGACUCCCCUAAUUAGACAUAUAGCUGGGGGAGAAGAGUUUGGAUUUGAUAUCCCGCUUUAUCACUUCCGUAAGGAGUCUCAAAGCGGCUAACAUUCUCCUUUUCCCUCCUCCCCCACAACAAACACUCUGUGAGGUGAGUGGGGCUGAGAGACUUCAGAGAAGUGUGACUAGCCCAAGGUCACCCAGCAGCUGCAUGUGGAGGUGCGGGGAAUCGAACCUAGUUCACCGGAUUACAAGUCCACUGCUCUUAUCCACUACACCACACUGGCUCUCAGGGAUGGAGAAAUGAGACCUUGGCUUUUCUUCCGCUCUCUUUUCCGAGUUUGAGGGUGCCUUCCUCACAAGAUAGCUCCCUUUGCUCACAGCUAUUGAUUGGAGGGCGUGAUUGGAUGUGUUUGUGUGCCAUGCAAUAGACUUUCCUAACGGAAAGCCACUUGCAGAGCAUGUUCUGCACUUUGCCGGAUUGUCACCUCCACCCAAUUUUUUUUUUUUUAGGCAUCAGGCAGGCAGGUUUUCCCACCCUGGCUGUCUCUCUUUCCUUCCUGAUGCCUUGCCCCACCAGACUGCCAUAGAUUGCUCUGGGCCAUCUAAGUAAACCCAUAGCAAUCUAUGACUAUCAGAACCUGACUCAUCUGAUGACCAAGUGCCUCCAAAUAAGCUCAAUUUGGCCCAGGAUUCGACCAAAUCCGAUACACAGCCCUAAAAGUCACCAUCUUAGAGGGAAAACAAAUUCUGGGUUCAGGACCAUGGACAGUUCUUACAGCUGAGACUUGCCCUGUCAGCAAAGGCUGAGUUUUAUAGCAGUCAGGAAGUCAUGGACAGGAGGCUCCACCAUCUGAGUGCUGCCUCCUGGCCAGUUAAAGGACUAGUGCUCCCCCCCCCCCGUGGCCAUUGGCUCCUCAUAGCUCUCUUGAUCCCCCAUGGAGUUUGUGGACUACCCAUCAGAGUAGGAGAUCAGAGUUGUCUCCUUGGGGUUCAAGGUAACAAAGGCAGGUUCCUUUGCCUCAAAACCUAGACAGGGCAGACCAGAGCUUGGAUCCAUUUCCUUAUCUAUCUAUCUAUCUAUCUAUCUAUCUAUCUAUCUAUCAUCUAUCAUCUAUCUAUCAAUCAUCUAUUUAUCAGCUUUCAUCUUUCUGUCUAUCUAUCAUCUAACUAUCAUCUACAUACCUAUAUUAAAGGGUUUGGUUUGUUACAAAAGUAGGUGCAUUGUCUCUUUUUGGCCUCUGUGGAGUCCUAGUGGGAAUCUGGGAUUCCAGCCUGGGAAUCUGUGGUUGCAUUCUAAAUUCUUUCUGGAUCACAGCUCUGAUUACUCUCUCUGUGUAUGUUUGGAUUGAUAUCAUUAUUUUAAAAGUGACCAUUGCAAAGAGUCAAAGGUCCUAAGCAGAGAAGAAGAAGAAGAAGAAGAAGAAGAAGAAGAAGAAGAAGAAGAAGAAGAAGAAGAAGAAGAAGAAGAAGACAAUCUCUCUUCUGUGUGUAUGUUUUCAGAGAAAUGGUUGAAUGAUUUGUGAAUUAUCUGGCUAUGCAGCGCUGAAGGAAGAUUCAUUGUGCAUACCAUUCCACAUUGUGACUCAAAGGUUUCCACUAAAUUAAGGUAUAAUGCACAAAACACUGAAGAGUAAAAUAUAUCUCAUUUCAUUUCAUUGUAUCAAAUCAUAGGUUUCUACGGGGCUGGAGUAUAUUCUGUUAUCUUGUUUAGAGCGAAAUGAAUGUGUGGGUGUGUUUAAAAGUGCAAGUCGCUUUUGCAGGAUUAUAAACUUUCAUAAGGGUAAUGAAUGGUGGCUGGAGAGAAAAAUAGCAUUUUACAGAUGGGGAACAGUGCAGCAGAAGCAAUUUGGGCAAAUGGAGCCUAGUCCCACCAACCUCAGGUAGUCCCUGCCUGCUUGCUUUCCUUAAAAGCAGUUGGGAGUGGCUCUGGAUCCACCUAGAAUCAUAGAAUCAUAGAAUCAUAGAGUUGGAAGAGACCACAAGGGCCAUCGAGUCCAACCCCCUGCCAAGCAGGAAACACCAUCAGAGCACUCCUGACUUAUGGUUGUCAAGCCUCUGCUUAAAGACCUCCAAAGAAGGAGACUCCACCACACUCCUUGGCAGCAAAUUCCACUGUCGAACAGAUCUUACUGUCAGGAAGUUCUUCCUAAUGUUUAGGUGGAAUCUUCUUUCUUGUAGUUUGGAUCCAUUGCUCCGUGUCCGCUUCUCUGGAGCAGCAGAAAACAACCUUUCUCCCUCCUCUAUGUGACAUCCUUUUAUAUAUUUGAACAUGGCUGUCAUAUCACCCCUUAACCUCCUCUUCUCCAGGCUAAACAUGCCCAGCUCCCUUAGCCGUUCCUCAUAAGGCAUCGUUUCCAGGCCUUUGACUAUUCUGGUUGCCCUCCUCUGGACACGUUCCAGUUUGUCAGUGUCCUUCUUGAACUGUGGUGCCCAGAACUGGUACCUACCAUUGGCCUCUGUGCCUUCUGUUCUAACUGUCCCAUUGGACACCACCCACUACUGGAAAUGUGAGUGUAUGAGAUAGAGAGAGUGUGUGUGAAUGUGUGUGUGAGAGAGGGAACAGGAGAAAGGGAAGCAGGGGUCAUUGAUGGAGUUGGGUGUUGGAAGGUCUCAUACCACAACUUCCUGAAGUUAAACUUUGACCAAUCACCUCCUGACCAGCUGGCCAUUUGUCUUCCAUGCAAACUUAGAAAAGCAAGCUUCCUUCUUCAACAAUACAGAUGGUCAUUUACCCUCGCUAGAUUCAACAUGCUGCCAUCUGCCUUAUUGCAUGGCAGAUCUGAGGGUAAACCAUACAUGGAACAAGUCUGCCCCUGCGGCUUGAUGGAGGUAGAAAUUGUCUCUCAUGCCUUGUUACGCUGCUGUUUCUACAGGGAUAUACGCUGGUAUUUAUCACCCCUGCUACCUGUAUGCAAAAAUCUCCAAAUGAAUCCGAACUUCAAUGUCUAAAAUCCCUGGUAGAGGACAAGGAUCCUGAGAUCACGUUAAGGGUAGCCAAAUUCUGUGUGAUUGCCAUAAAACUUAGGGAAGAAGCUGUGCUAUCAUAAUGAUUAAGGUUUUAAAUGAUAAUUUUAGGUUAUUUGUUAGUGGCUAAGUUUUGAUUUAUAUAUAUUUUUAACUGUUGCUAUAUCUGUAUUGUCCCUGUUAUACCUAAUUGCAAAUUCAAAUGUAUCCCUAUAGUGUUUUAUGACUUCCUUGAUAUUGUAUGUGGGCUGCAACUGGUCUGUGACAGAAAUAAUAAAUUCAUUCAUUCCUUCUUCAAGGUUGCCAUCUAUUCUGCAGUGCCACCCCAUCUGAACAUUAAGUCACCUAACUCCAGGCCAAUCCCCACCCACCAUGCUUUAUGGUACAAAACCCUUAAAUUUAGACCAGAAGUGGACACUUUUCUUUCAGCCCAAAAGCUGCAUUACCUUCUCAGCAAUCUGCGUGUGUGUGUAUACAUGCCAGUGGUAGGUGGGGCCCCAAUGAAAAGUGAUGGGAUCAACAAACACACAUUUUACCUUCGUGCAUCAGGCUAGUUUCUACACACCCUCACCCAAGACACUAUGAGAGUUUAAGGAUGCGUCCCAGCCAGGCAAACAACACUCAAGGGGGGUGUGACACUGAGGUCCAGCACUGAGGGCCUUCUGGCGGUUCCCUCACUGCGAGAAGCCAAGUUACAGGGAACCAGGCAGAGGGCCUUCUCGGUAGUGGCGCCUUCCCUGUGGAACACCCUCCCACCAGAUGUCAAAGAGAACAACAACUACCAGGCUUUUAGAAGACAUCUGAAGGCAGCCCUGUUUCGGGAAGCUUUUAAUGUUUGAUGUAUUAUAGUAUUUUGGUAUUCUUUUGGAAGCCGCCCAGAGUGGCCGGGGAAGCCCAGCCAGAUGGGCGGGGUAUAAAUAAUAAAUUAUUAUUAUUAUAUUAUUAUUAUUAUUAUUAUAAGAGCAGUGAGUGGUGUGGCUGGGAGGGGAUAUGGCUAAGGAAAAGUCCCAAGGAUCAAUCAGAGAGACCCGAGGGCCACAUUUGGCGAUACAGUGGUACCUCGGGUUAAGUACUUAAUUCGUUCUGGAGGUCUGUUCUUAACCUGAAACUGUUCUUAACCUGAAGCACCACUUUAGCUAAUGGGGCCUCCUGCUGCCGCCAUGCCGCUGGAGCACGAUUUCUGUUCUCAUCCUGAAGCAAAGUUCUUAACCUGAGGUAAUAUUUCUUGGUUAGCGGAGUAUGUAACCUGUAGCGUAUGUAACCCGAGGUACCACUGUAUCUUUACUGGUGGCUGAACCCAUAGAGAACAGAAAGAUGGACAGACAGAAAGUCAGACAAACCACUUUCCAAAAUAUAUACUUUUUUGCACAUUUUUACCUCAGUAUAUAUGCAGUUUUCUACACAUUGGCUGGAGAGUUGCAUCUCAAAAUUCAGAGCAGAGUGAAUUUUGGUUUCGGUUCCUGAAUGGUUUUGGAAAGUGCGAAUUAGUAGAUUUGCCUUUAAAUGUGAACUGAAUUUAAUUUCUCUCCACCCCAGCUACCUUCUCUCCCUGGCAAAACAGGGGUAUUUUUUGGUUGUGUAUGUUAUGAUCUCUGUGUUGUAGAGGAUUAGAUUUUGUGAAGCUAAAAUGCUACUGAGCUCCUUGCAUCAAGUGCAUCCAAAUGUAACCAAUAACUAUGCAAAUUAUGUUUACUUUAUGUUAUUAAGUAUGCAAAUUUGGCAUUUCGCUGAAACUCAUGAUGCUACCUUUCCAGCGGGGUCCUCACCAAUGGAAAAUUUAGUCAUUCCUAUAUUAAACCAUUAGGUUCUUCCCCUUCUGAUUUCUUCCUAUAUGGCCUUCUGUGGUGGACCAGGCCUGUGAAUGACUCCAAGUGAAAUGCAAGGCAUCUGUGAACUUCAGCCUUGAUCACUGAUGGAUAAGAUUGAGCCUGGCAGGGAGAGAUGUAUAUAAUUGUACAACUGGGUGUGAUUAAUCUACCCUAAUAAUAACAGAGAUUUAUACUAGUCCCUGUGCAGUAAUCUGUACAGAGUUAGCCAGAUAACACCCUCUCCCAUGAAUAAUUCAAGGAAAUGAAUUAGAUUAUUCCAGAUCUCCUAUGGGUAAUAUUUACAUAUUGGCUUAAUAUUGCUAAACACUCAUCUUCACAAGCAGACAGCUUAUCCAAGAUAAAAGCAAACAUGAUGUAUAGUUUGUGAUCAAUCAAUCACAAAGUGAUGGGUUUCCCCCACCCAGUGUCAAUUCUUCUCAUUUUCCCAUCUUACUUUCUGAAAUGACGUCAACACUCUCAUUACCCAGUCUCACAUUUUCCGUUUGAGGACAAAAGACACUCUGCAAGGCAUGGGAUGGCAAACCACAUACAGUGGUACCUCGGGUUAAGUACUUAAUUCAUUCCGGAGGUCUGUUCUUAACCUGAAACUGUUCUUAACCUGAAGCACCACUUUAGCUAAUGGGGCCUCCUGCUGCCACCACGCCGCCGGAGCACAAUUUCUGUUCUCAUCCUGAAGCAAAGUUCUUAACCUGAAGCACUAUUUCUGGCUUAGUGGAGUCUGUAACCUGAAGCGUCUGUAACCUGAAGCAUAUGUAACCCGAGGUACUACUGUACAUUUCUUUGAUUUCUAAUGCUAUGGCAAAAAGACGGCCCAGAUGUUUACAAUGUUAGGUCGAGAAUGAUUUCCUCUCCAUCUUAUCCCUUUCCGUUUUCAUAGGAACUCAAAACCCUCAACAUGCUUUUACCUGCAAUCCAGUGCCAUCUGGCCUUUUGCCACACAUUCUCUGUUCUCUCACAACCUCCCUUUUUAUUUCAUGCAGCGAAACAGGAAGGAUGGAAUUGCACCUUUAUGGAUCGAUCCACAUAAAUUCUCAGUGUCCUCCUGGGCAGGACCACCCAUUAUCAGGUACGCAGGCCUGCUAGUGGAAAACAAUGGCCCCAUGUUGAGUGCUGUCAUCUCAUUCUAUAAUGUGCGCUUCAGGGGACUUGAGUUCUCAUACCACGUGUUUCCCUGCUCCCAUCACUCUGUGUCUCUGGCUUCUGCUGGCAGGAACGAGGAAAUGCUCUGUGCAACAAUGACCUGGCAUGAGUUAAGCUGAACUAUUAAGAAGAAGGUGGGUGUCAGGAGCUUCUGGGUCUCAGGUUGGCUGCUCCCUUGUGACGAGCCACUGAACUGGAUAUUGCAGCACCUGCCUAGUCAGCUUGAUUUAUUUUAAGCAUUUUUUGUUUACUCUACACUUCAGCCAAGAAGACUCCCAGAAUAGCUUGCAAAGAUCUGUAACAAGAUAGUCCUUUCCUUCAGGCUUACUCUCAGGUCCUGGACUUGCCUGCUUUCCCAGGGGUGUGACUAGGCCCUCCUGGACAGGAAACAGCUACCUUUGAAGGUGAUUAACCACAAUUAAUCCAGAAUGCGGCAGCUAAACUGGUGACUGGGAGUGGCUGCCGAGACCAUAUAACACCGGUCCUGAAAAACCGACAUUGGUUCCCAGUAUGUUUCCGAGCACAAUUCAAAGUGUUGGUGCUGACCUUGAAAGCCCUAAACGGCCUCGGUCCAGUAUAUCUGAAGGAGCAUCUCCAUCCCCAUCAUUCUGCCCAGACACUGAGAUCCAUCUCCGAGGGCCUUCUGGUGGUUCCCUCACUGCGAGAAGCCAAGUUACAGGGAACCAGGCAAAGGGCCUUUUCGGUAGUGGCGCCCGCCCUGUGGCACACCCUCCCAUUAGAUGUCAAGGAAAUAAACAACUUUCUGACUUUCAGAAGACAUCUGAAGGCAGUCCUGAUUAGGGAAGUUUUUGAUGUUUGAUGUUUGAUUGUGUUUUUAAUCUUCUGUUGGGAGCCGCCCAGAAUGGCUGUGGAAACCCAGCCAGUUGGGUGGGGUAUACAUAAUAAAUGAUGAUAUCUUCUUGACGUCUGCCAUAAGAACAUAAGAAAUGCCUGUCAGGUGGAUGAGGCAAUGGAUCCAUCUAGUCCAGCAUCCUGUUCUCCCCACGGCCAACCAGAGACCUCUUGGGAAACCUGCAAGCUGAACCUGAGUGUAAUAAGACUCUCCAGCAAAAUAAUUCAACUGUGUUUUUUAUUUUCAUUCACUUUGAUGGGACCUAGUAAUAACGCACUUUUGCUUCAUUGGCUCUUUCAAUUCUCCUUCUGUCUUUACCUGCUAGCUAACCUCAAAAUGCGGGUGGUGCUGUGGGUUAAACCACAGAGCCUAGGACUUGCCGAUCAGAAGGUCGGUGGUUCGAAUCCCCGCAAUGGGGCGAGCUCCCGUUGCUCAGUCACUGCUCCUGCCCACCUAGCAGUUCGAAAGCAUGUCAAAGUGCAAGUAGAUAAAUAGCUACCGCUCCGGCAGGAAGGUAAACGGCAUUUCCGUGCGCUGCUCUGGUUCGCUAGAAGCGGCUUAGUCAUGCUGGCCACAUGACCCGGAAGCUGUAUGCCGGCUCCCUUGGCCAGUAAAGCGAGAUGAGCGCUGCAACCCCAGAGUCGGCCGCGACUGGACCUAGUGGUCAGGGGUCCCUUUACCUUUAACCCCAAGACACGGCAUGCUUUGGAAGGGAGCACCAGACAGAAUUUAAGAACUGAAGAGGAGCUCUGCCAGAUCAGGCCAAAGAUCAGGCCAGUUAGUCCUACAUUCUGUUCUCACCGAGGUCAAACAGAUGUCAAGGGAAGCCCCCAGGCAGGACCUGAGUGUAACAGCAGUCUCCAUACUUGUGAUUUGCAGCAAGUGGUGUUGAGAGAGAAUAUUGCUCCCCCAGAGGAGUUAGAAGUUACAGGUAGGUAGCCGUGUUGGUCUGCUGUAGUUGAAACAAAAUAUAAAAAAUCCUUCCAGUAUCACCUUAGAGACCAACUAAGUUUGUUAUUGGUAUGAGCUUAGAAGUUCCUCAGGAACUUAGGAGUUAGAAGUUCCUCAUCAUGGCUAAUGGCCAUUGACAGCCUUACUCUUCAUGAAUCACAUACACACGUGCAAGAAGGCAUCCCUGUUCAGGGAAGGUAUCAGUGUGUGAUGUUAUAUUGUGCUUUUACUACUUUUUGUUGGGGCAACCCAGUCAGACGGGCAACAUAUAAAGAAUAAUAAAUGAUGAUAAUGAUGAGGAAUUGUUACCUACUGAUCUGAAGCCCUUGCCCUUCUCUCCCCUCCAUGUUACACCUAGUAAGUCCCAUGAGUAUAGUCUAGGGCAGUGUUUCUCAACCUUGGGUCACCAUCUGAUGUUGGACUACAACUCCCAUCAUCCCUAGCUAUCAGGGGUGAUGGGAGUUGUACUCCAACAACAUCUCAACCCAAGGUUGAGAAACACUAAUCUGGGGAAUAUCCAAAAAGCUGUUUUAUUGCUGGCACCUGCAACAAAAUGUCAUUGAUUCACUAAUAGUGCAAUAUUAGCAGACUGUCCACACAUCAUCCUGGUUUAUCAGUUCUUUCAUGUUUCCCAACAUUCCCACACUGUAGCAUUCACAUUUUAACUCCACCCAUUCCAUUGGCCACCCCCAAUCCCACCCCUCUCCCCACAGCAUGUUAUUUGUGCUAUAAUGCCAUGCCACCAUACUUGUACACCUUCAGCUUUUAUGAUUAGGCUGUGAUUGCUGUGCUAAAAUAUUGCUCAUUUUCAAGGGGUGGGUGUGGCCGUAUAUUAUACCAACAGGAAGUAUGUGGGAGUAGCUACAUCACAAAGAGGGGGAUACAUUUUUCUAAGGUAUUCUUGCACCAUAGCGUAUUAAAUUUGGGACUAAAGAAAGAAACAACUGGUGAACUUGUAGUAUAAAUUGUUACAGGAUUAUUAUUAUUAUUAUUAUUAUUAUUAUUAUUAUUGCAGGAAGCUACAGGACAUGCAAUUGUAUUGAUAGCACAAUCACAUAUAACUACCCCAAACAGAAUCGUGAGCACAAAUGGUGAUGAAUGCGCAAUAAAAAAGGACAUAUUGGGGGC
Molecule: non-coding RNA, 14603 nt
Organism: Podarcis lilfordi (Lilford's wall lizard)
Lineage: Eukaryota; Metazoa; Chordata; Lepidosauria; Squamata; Lacertidae
Source: the annotation of a GenBank genome assembly